GCCAUGCCGCGUGCAGGAUGACGGUCCUAUGGAUUGUAAACUGCUUUUGUACGGGAAGAAACACUCCGACGUGUCGGAGCUUGACGGUACCGUAAGAAUAAGGAUCGGCUAACUCCGUGCCAGCAGCCGCGGUAAUACGGAGGAUCCAAGCGUUAUCCGGAAUCAUUGGGUUUAAAGGGUCCGUAGGCGGUCUGGUAAGUCAGUGGUGAAAGCCCAUCGCUCAACGGUGGAACGGCCAUUGAUACUGCUGGACUUGAAUUACUGGGAAGCAACUAGAAUAUGUAGUGUAGCGGUGAAAUGCUUAGAGAUUACAUGGAAUACCAAUUGCGAAGGCAGGUUGCUACCAGUGGAUUGACGCUGAUGGACGAAAGCGUGGGUAGCGAACAGGAUUAGAUACCCUGGUAGUCCACGCCGUAAACGAUGGAUACUAGCUGUUGGGAGCAAUCUCAGUGGCUAAGCGAAAGUGAUAAGUAUCCCACCUGGGGAGUACGUUCGCAAGAAUGAAACUCAAAGGAAUUGACGGGGGCCCGCACAAGCGGUGGAGCAUGUGGUUUAAUUCGAUGAUACGCGAGGAACCUUACCAAGGCUUAAAUGCAGACUGACCGAUUUGGAAACAGAUCUUUCGC
Molecule: ribosomal RNA, 626 nt
Filed under: Flavobacterium sp. So1Ps_572
Lineage: Bacteria; Pseudomonadati; Bacteroidota; Flavobacteriia; Flavobacteriales; Flavobacteriaceae
Also listed under: 1 other name
Description: bacterial SSU rRNA
Rfam family: Bacterial small subunit ribosomal RNA
Source: RNAcentral